Archocentrus centrarchus (flier cichlid) is the source of this 2881-nucleotide long non-coding RNA. RefSeq lists it as uncharacterized. The transcript has 3 exons. The record is from RefSeq and is a predicted model, not a curated record. NCBI's taxonomy places the organism in Eukaryota, Metazoa, Chordata, Actinopteri, Cichliformes, Cichlidae.
GACGCCCACAGGAGCAUUUGGGAAUCUCACAUAUUUAAUAACUAAUCUGUUAUUACAUGCAUUAAAGUGUCAAAGAAAAACUGCUCACCUGAAAUGCAGCACGGGGUUGGCGAUGGUCGGAGUUUUGUCUUCAAAGGGCUCGAUAAUGAUGGUGAAGCCUUUUCAGAGACGCAGAGAUGUUACAGACCAUAACCCAGCUACAGCAAAACAGCUGAGCAGAGGUGGGGUUUUUCCUACCUUGGCUGUAGGUGCUGACGAGCGUGGCAAAGUUCGAGAUGAGAGUAACGGCCGAGAAGUCGGCGAUGUCGGCGAUCUCCAGCGUUCGCAGUAAUGACUGCAACCGCUCUGCACAAAACCUGGAGGUGCAGAGAGGAGGGGUCAGCGUGGGAAAGCGGCAGGAGUCGAGUUUUCACGCUGAAACCGACCUGAGGGGUUUGCGGUCAAUGCAGACUUUUUCGAAGAUGUCUUUGAGGAACUGCGGCGCGCUCUCCUGUACGACAUGGUGGACCCUCAGACGGGACUUCAGGUACUCCAGGAAGCGCCUCAUGAAACCCACAAAGUGCUCGGCUGUACGAAUAGAGCCGGGCACCGCCUCUGACAGAGAGGAAGAAGGAACGUCACACUGCUGAAAGAACAGUUUGUAUUUUCUCAUUUCUCUCAUCACACCUGCAAUAAGACGGAUACAUUUCUAAUAAUAAUUUGGCCCUUCAUCCAAACUGUGACUCAGCCAGUAAGAUUCCAGUUACAAGGUUUGGAGUUUGAUGUUAAUUUGCAGACGACUCGACAUGUUUGCUAACAAACUGCUUUUAAAACGUAGCUAACUUAGUGAACUAUGAGAGGAGCCUGAAACCAGAAGAUGAAUCAAAGUUUGUAUCUGUUGGAGACCGAACCUUGGAGAACUUCAUCAGGUAACACCGGAUUGGAGAGGUAGACGUCGGUUUCUCUCGCCACAUUGGCUUCUUUCAGCCCCUCCACCAAUCGCCUGUACUCCUCCCUCAGCUUGGCAGCGUCCGUCUCCUUUAUCCUGUCAGAUCAUUAUCUGUCAACUCCUUCAUAUAUCCCACAAAAUUACAGACAUUUCAACUAUUGGUGCCAUUUUCAUUCAGUCAGACUGGAAAUAAACUGUAUCCUGAUGUGAUGCAUAUAAACGUGACUUCCACUCUGGGAUCCAGAACAAUAAUGCAAACCAGAGGCUUCAGUGCAGGCUCGAGGAGGGCAAACACAGAAGCAUUUACACAAACUGAAAUCAGCCUGCCGCCGGCUCUGCCGCAGCCUCACUUCUGUAUGCUGUUUUGGAGAGUGUCCACGUUGUUCUGGCAGCGGUCCAGCGUUCGCCUGGUGAUGUUUACGCUCAUGGAGUCGAUGCACACGUUGUCUGAGGAGAGUGUGGAAGAAUAAUUAGAGGAAAGCAAAUUCAGAAGGACAGAAAUUCAGCCGAUUCGGUUCCUCACCGAUAUUAUGAGCCUCGUCAAACACCACUACAGACUUCUUUGCCAGCUCUUUGGACACCAGAUCAGCUAUCUUGGGGUCCAGCAGUAACUCACUGAAUAGCGAGCCAGAUAGUACGGACACCAGCCCUUCCUCCUGCCAAAGGCCUUCAGGUCGUCCAGGUUGUAGAUGCCAGCAGGAAGAGGAACCUGUCGGCCGACCGCAUCGAAGUCCUGCAACACAAACCGGGACGGACGAGGGGAGAGGUUCAAGGAGAGGAGCAGCAGACGAGGGCGCAGAACCUCAGAGCCUAGGUUUUACAAACGAGAAAUGCUCGAAGCGUCACCGUCAGCGCCGCCGUCCUGCCUCACUGCCAUCACACGCCCGCCCCCGGGUCGCUGCUCACCGGUGAUGCUGAGCCCUGAUGCUGCCAUUCAUGAGCCAUUACAGGAAGUAACUUCUUACCUCAUAGAAGCGACAGACGGGCUGGCUGGGGUUGCUGUGGUGUUGUGCACGGAUGUACGACGCUGUCAAACUGUGGCACUUCCCAUCGACCUCCUUACCGAAGCGCAGAGAGCUCACCUGUGUGAAGACAAGCGUGCCGGUCACUUUUUAAAGCCGAGAGCUGAAUCCCGACUCCCUCCUUCACCUUUACGGGCGGGCAGGUGUUCGUACCUCAGGGUGGAUGCAGAGGUUCUUCCUGGAGGAAAGGGCGAGGGCGAGGAAAUUGUUGCUCUCUCCUGUUUCUUUGGUGUAAAACUCCAUCAGCUUCCUCAGCUCCUCCACAACCUCAUCAGAGAGAGAAUCAAACGUACAGUUUAAGACGUCCACGCUUUCACAGCUUCUUCCAGUUUGACUGAGAGCCGUCAGUAAAUUAAAGAGUAGAAACGCACUUCAUCUGAUGUGACGUUCACUCACCUUCUCGAUCUCUGGAACUGUUCUGGAGCAGUAAAUUAACUUGGUGACCUCCAGAGGGAAAGCCUGAGACACAGAGAACAUGUUUACACGCUCACGUGCCACCAGCUGUUAAACCAUUUCUGAGACAGGCUGCACUCACCCUCUGGUAGGCCACAAUGAGGGACAGCAGAGAGAUGGUCUUCCCCGUUCCCGACGGCAUCUCCAGGACUCCAUGACCCUGAACGGUUAACAAAGAAAGCAGCAGCUGAAAGCAAACACUCAGGACUUUUGUUGUGUGUGUUUUACAGAAAUCUGAGAGGGACACGCUGUACUCCCCAGGAGGAGCAACACAAAAGGAAAAACCUGGACUAACAACUGUAACUUUAGGAGCCGUGCCUUCACUUCCAGGAAGAAAAAUAGGAACAGCUAACAAUAACCCACAUUUAAAAAUACACGCACGUCUGCACCGAUCACAGGAACAUGAGGACUUUUCUUUAACUGCAAUCAGAAAUAAAGUACUGGUUCUGACCAGCGGUAAAAAGUAUCAAAGUACAUC